UACGGAGGGUGCAAGCGUUGUCCGGAUUUACUGGGUUUAAAGGGUGCGUAGGCGGACCUGUAAGUCAGUGGUGAAAUCUUGAGGCUUAACCUCAAAAUGGCCAUUGAUACUGCUGGUCUUGAGUUCGCGUGAGGUGGUUAGAAUGCGUGGUGUAGCGGUGAAAUGCUUAGAUAUCACGCAGAAUACCGAUUGCGAAGGCAGAUCACUAACGCGUAACUGACGCUGAGGCACGAAAGCGUGGGGAGCAAACAGG
Molecule: ribosomal RNA, 253 nt
Filed under: uncultured bacterium
Lineage: Bacteria
Description: partial 16S ribosomal RNA
Rfam family: Bacterial small subunit ribosomal RNA
Source: RNAcentral